CCUACGGGUGGCAGCAGUAGGGAAUUUUCGGCAAUGGGGGGAACCCUGACCGAGCAACGCCGCGUGAACGAAGAAGUAUCUCGGUACGUAAAGCUCUAUCAGCAGGGAAGAAAAUGACGGUACCUGACUAAGAAGCCCCGGCUAACUACGUGCCAGCAGCCGCGGUAAUACGUAGGGGGCAAGCGUUAUCCGGAUUUACUGGGUGUAAAGGGAGCGUAGACGGCAGCACAAGUCUGGAGUGAAAUCCCGGGGCUUAACCCCGGAACUGCUUUGGAAACUGUGCGGCUGGAGUGCAGGAGGGGUAAGCGGAAUUCCUAGUGUAGCGGUGAAAUGCGUAGAUAUUAGGAGGAACACCGGUGGCGAAGGCGGCUUACUGGACUGUAACUGACGUUGAGGCUCGAAAGCGUGGGGAGCAAACAGGAUUAGAUACCCGGGUAGUC
RNAcentral lists this ribosomal RNA (440 nucleotides) under uncultured bacterium. RNAcentral's name for it is "partial 16S ribosomal RNA". It matches the Rfam family "Bacterial small subunit ribosomal RNA", at positions 338 to 795 of the family's 1533-position model. The record is from RNAcentral.